UUUUCGUAUAAAAUAUUUCGUACGUUCGAUGAAAAUCGAAUCGGAAGAUAGCAACUUGAAACGUAUGAGAACGUAAGCAAGAUGAGGAGGAGAAACAGUUUGCUAUGAAAUGAUUUGUAGUUAAAGUAAAUUGCACUUAUGAAAAGCAAAUCGGAAUUUAGAGUGGUUCGGUCAACGUGACCUACAUCCACUUUCAGAUUCCUCCGACGAGGUCUUCGGUGUCCACUAAAGACCUUCCUUCAAUAGGUGAAGACCAACCACCUUUUACAACGCUUUCUUCUUUUCACGGGUUUAGGAGAACCCUUACAAGUCUCACACCUCUCUUGAAUGAUCUCAACACCUAGAAAGGGAGGAGGACUCUAGUACUUGUUUACAAUACUUUUACACCCCAACAACUCAAGAUUAUCUCAAUGCUUUCGUGCCCUUUCAUGCAGGAAAGGGUGGGGUUUUUGUAGGCCCCAAUGGCUUCAAAAAUGGAGCCAAAAAGUGUCUAAUCCCGGAUUUCCGGGGUCCUGGUGGUACCAUCACCAUUACUGGGUGAUACCACAGCCUGACACCUGACACUAGGCGGUACUACCGCUUAGUCUGGGCGGUACCACCGCUGGCAGUAAUAAUUGUCGAUUGUACCACCGCUGGCAGUAAUAACUGCCGACGGUACCACCGCCUAGACCACCUGGGAGACCGGGUCUUCUGGGCGGUGCCACCGCCGGCCAUGUUUUCAAGGGCUGAUUGGGCUGUUCAAUCCGGCCCAAAUCAACCCUAUUAAGGGCCCAAUUGGCCUCUAAUUAAGUUAGUGGGAUUACCUCCCAAUCCUAACUUAAUAUAUGCUCUAAUUACAAUAAUUAAGACAUGAUCACAGCUCUUCUUGUUCCGGUGCGUCAAUUGCUCUUCCGGCGAGCUUCUGGCAUACUUCCGGCGAACAUCCGACGUACUCUCCGCAAUGCUCCAGCAGACUCCCGGCAAGCUCCUGGACUUUACGAUAAUCUUCUUGGUAAGUUCCGACGAGCUUCUUUGGCAAGCUCCUGGACUUCUCGCUUGGUUUCGGUAGAACUUACGACGAACGUUCGGACUUCCGACGAACUCUCGAACUCCCAACGUGAUCUCGAUCUUGACUCCAGCACAAUACUUGCUUUAUGUCUUACUGCUAUCGUAGUUAAUCUUGUACACUUUUCUCAAUAUAUAGAUUAGAUCAAACAAAUUACAAUUGAUUUCAUCAUCAAAAUCCGAGAUUCAACAAUUUUCUUUCGAGCUUUCAAAUUACAUAUCUUAUAUUGACUGAAGCAAUGAUAAAUUAUUAAGUAGUUGAUUUAUGCACAUAUAUGGACAAUGCAACUGUUGAUUACCAUAUGCCUUGAGCAUCCACUAUCAAGGUACCAUCUCUUGCUCCUAGCUUGUGAUGGUAUAUGUUUCUACAAAAGAGGAUGAUUUUUAGAUACCCAUUUGACCUUGGGUGCCUAAAAAAUCGAUCGGCUUAACUUAUCAUUUUGCAUGGAAUUCUUUACGGUUCCUUUAGGAACCCAAAUUAAUUUAUGUGGACUACACUUCUUAAAUGGACAAUGAUAAUCUACAUGUCCAAGUUUGCAACAAAAGUUGCAUUUGUUUUAUGGUGAAAUAUGCAAUAUAGGGCCUUUAACAAAGGUGGUUGGAUUUUGGUGAGAGCUACUCACAAAUCCGAUUCCACUUCUUUUAUGAACGUGACCUUUAUUGGCAAGGAUCAUGUUCAAGGACUUGCUACCAACCUCAAAUUUUUCUAAGGUUUCUUUGAGUAGCAAGUUUUCCUUUCUAAGUGUUUCUACUUCAUGGCAUUUCGUACAUGGAGCUAAACUAUCAUUAUGCUCAACGUUUAAUCUAUUGUAAUCACUAACAAGAGAAUCAUGUUUCUUUUUUAUUAAUUGAGUUGCAUUUAUCAAAUAAAUCAUGAAAAGCAUUUAAUAGUUCAUCAAAUGAUAAAUUUGCAUUAAUCGAACUUGUUACCUCUUCUCCAAUGGCCAUUAGUGCAUAGUGAGCAACUUGCUCAGUGUUGGUUGGCUCCUCUUCUUCGGAUGCACUUGAGUCGUCCCAUGUUGCUUUGAGAGCUUUCUUCUUUGGUGUCCUCUUCUUGGUUUGGGGACAUUCGUUCUUGUAGUGUCUUGGCUUCUUGCAUUCAUAACAUAUUACUUGAUCUUUCUUGGAUUCAAAUUUAUUUUUAGUGUCAUUUUUAAAUUUAUUCCUUUUUAUGAUUUUUUUAAAUUUCCUUGUUAAAAGUGUCAAGUCUUCAUCAAGGUUCUCAUCACUUGAGUUUUCUUUCAAGUGAUCUUCUUGGGUUCUUAGUGUCAUAUCCUUCCUGUUCUUUGGAAGGGUGUCCUCAAGCUCUUCAUGAGCUUUACAAGUCAUCUCAUAGGUCAUUAGUGACUCAAUUAGUUUUUUGAGAGGAAAAUUAUUUAAAUCUUUGGCCUCUUGAAUGGCCGUGACUUUAGGGUCCCAACUCUUUGGAAGGGAUCUUAAAACUUUAUUAACGAGUUUAAAAUCCGAGAAACCUUUACUAAGUCCUUUUAGAUCAUUGAUAACAUCCGUAAAUCGAGUGUACAUGUCUCCAAUAGUCUCACUCGGUUUCAUCCGAAAUAACUCAUAAGUGUACACUAAAAGAUUAAUUUUCGACUCCUUCACUCUACUAGUGCCUUCAUGAGUCACUUCGAGUGUGUGCCAAAUAUCAAAAGUCGUUUCACAAAUCGACACUCGAUUAAACUCGUUUUUAUCUAAUGCACAAAACAAGGCAUUCAUAGCCUUGGCAUUUAAAGUGAAAGUCUUCUUCUCCAACUCAUUUCAAUCGUUCAUUGGAAGAGAUGACUUUUGAAAACCGUUUUCGACAACGUUCCAAAGCUCAAAAUCCAUUGAAAUUACGAAGAUCCUCAUUCUAGUCUUCCAAAAUGUGUAAUCCGUCCCAUUGAACAUGGACGGACGUGUAAUUGAAUGACCUUCUUGGUUGCCGGCAAAUGUCAUCUCUCUUGGGUUUUAAACCAAACGAGAGUGAACCUUGCUCUGAUACCAAUUAUUAGGAUCAAGAGCAGCACUAAGAGGGGGGGGUGAAUUAGUGCAACGGAAAAUUCUUCGAUUUUCGUAUAAAAUAUUUCGUACGUUCGAUGAAAACCGAAUCGGAAGAUAGCAACUUGAAACGUAUAAGAGCGUAAGCAAGAUGAGGAGGAGAAGCAGUUUGCUAUGAAAUGAUUUGCAGUUAAAGUAAAUUGCACUUAUGAAAAGCAAACCAGAAUUUAGAGUGGUUCGGUCAACGUGACCUACAUCCACUUUCGGAUUCCUCCUUCGACGAGGUCUCCGGCGUCCACUAAAGGCCUUCCUUCAAUAGGUGAAGACCAGGCACCUUUUACAGCGCUUUCUCCUUUUCACGAGUUCAGGAGAGAACCCUUACAAGUCUCACACUUAUCUUGAAUGAUCUCAACACUUAGAAAGGGAGGAGGAGGACUCUAGCACUUGUUCACAACACUUUUACAUCCCAACAACUCAAGAUUAUCUCAAUGCUUUCGUGCCUUUUCAUGCAAGAAAGGGUGGGAUUUUUGUAGGCAAAAAUAGAGCCAAAAAGUGUCUAAUCCUGGAUUUCCGAGGUCCUGGCGGUACCAUCGCCAUUAUUGGGUGGUACCACCGCCUGACACCUGACACUGAGCAGUACUACCGCUCAGUCUGGGCAGUACCACCACUUGACAAAGCUCGGAGACUGAGCUUUGGCGGUACCACCGCCUGACAGGGGUGGUACCACCGCCCAUACCACUUGGGAGACUGGGUCUUUUGGGCGGUGCCACCGCCGGCCAUAUUUUCAAGGGCUGAUUGGGCUAUUCAAUCCGGCCCAAAUCAGCCCUGUUAAGGGCCCAAUUGGCCCCUAAUUAAGUUAGUGGGAUUACCUCCCAAUCCUAACUUAAUUUAUGCUCUAACUACGAUAAUUAAGAUAAGAUCACAGCUCUUCUUGUUCCGGUGCGUCAAUUGCUCUUCCGGCGAGCUUCCAACAUACUUCCGACGAACUCUCGACAAUGCUUCGGCGGACUCCCGGCAAGCUCCUGGACUUUACGACGAUCAUCUUGGCAAGUUCCGACGAGCUUCGUUGGCAAGCUCCUAGACUUCUCGGUUGGUUUCGGUAGGACUUCCGACGAACUCUCGAACUCCCAACGUGAUCUCGAUCUUGACUCCAGCACAAUACCUGCUUUAUGUCUUACUGCUAUCGUAGUUAAUCUUGCAC
RNAcentral lists this long non-coding RNA (4222 nucleotides) under Musa acuminata (dwarf banana). RNAcentral's name for it is "long non-coding RNA (MACU_LNC004569)". Lineage: Eukaryota; Viridiplantae; Streptophyta; Magnoliopsida; Zingiberales; Musaceae. The record is from RNAcentral.